CCUACGGGCGGCAGCAGUGAGGAAUAUUGGUCAAUGGGCGCGAGCCUGAACCAGCCAAGUCGCGUGAGGGAAGACGGUCCUAUGGAUUGUAAACCUCUUUUGUCGGGGAGCAAAAGACGCCACGCGUGCCGUUCCGAGAGUACCCGAAGAAAAAGCAUCGGCUAACUCCGUGCCAGCCGCCGCGGUAAUACGGAGGAUGCGAGCGUUAUCCGGAUUUAUUGGGGUUAAAGGGUGCGCAGGGGGAAGGUCAAUUCAGCGGGAAAAUUGAGAGGCUCAACCUCUUCGAGCCGGUGAAACUGGUUUUCUUGAGUGAGUGAGAAGUAUGCGGAAUGCGUGGUGUAGCGGUGAAAUGCAUAGAUAUCACGCAGAACUCCGAUUGCGAAGGCAGCAUACCGGCGCUCAACUGACGCUCAUGCACGAAAGUGUGGGUAUCGAACAGGAUUAGAUACCCGAGUAGUC
RNAcentral lists this ribosomal RNA (459 nucleotides) under uncultured bacterium. RNAcentral describes it as "partial 16S ribosomal RNA". It matches the Rfam family "Bacterial small subunit ribosomal RNA", at positions 338 to 795 of the family's 1533-position model. The record is from RNAcentral.